CCUACGGGAGGCAGCAGUGGGGAAUAUUGGACAAUGGGGGCAACCCUGAUCCAGCCAUGCCGCGUGUGUGAAGAAGGCCCUCGGGUUGUAAAGCACUUUCAGUGAGGAAGAACGCCUGGUGGUUAAUACCCAUCAGGAAAGACAUCACUCACAGAAGAAGCACCGGCUAACUCCGUGCCAGCAGCCGCGGUAAUACGGAGGGUGCGAGCGUUAAUCGGAAUUACUGGGCGUAAAGCGCGCGUAGGUGGCUUGAUAAGCCGGUUGUGAAAGCCCCGGGCUCAACCUGGGAACGGCAUCCGGAACUGUCAAGCUAGAGUGCAGGAGAGGAAGGUAGAAUUCCCGGUGUAGCGGUUAAAUGCGUAGAGAUCGGGAGGAAUACCAGUGGCGAAGGCGGCCUUCUGGACUGACACUGACACUGAGGUGCGAAAGCGUGGGUAGCAAACAGGAUUAGAUACCCUUGUAGUC
Molecule: ribosomal RNA, 465 nt
Filed under: Vreelandella stevensii
Lineage: Bacteria; Pseudomonadati; Pseudomonadota; Gammaproteobacteria; Oceanospirillales; Halomonadaceae
Description: partial 16S ribosomal RNA
Rfam family: Bacterial small subunit ribosomal RNA
Source: RNAcentral